Molecule: ribosomal RNA, 484 nt
Filed under: uncultured bacterium
Lineage: Bacteria
Description: partial 16S ribosomal RNA
Rfam family: Bacterial small subunit ribosomal RNA
Source: RNAcentral
AUUGAACGAGGGAGGAAGGAGGUACACAUGCAAGUCGAACGGCAGCGCGGGCUUCGGCCUGGCGGCGAGUGGCGAACGGGUGAGUAAUGCAUCGGAACGUGCCCAGUAGUGGGGGAUAGCCCGGCGAAAGCCGGAUUAAUACCGCAUACGACCUGAGGGUGAAAGCGGGGGACCGAAAGGCCUCGCGCUAUUGGAGCGGCCGAUGUCGGAUUAGCUAGUUGGUGGGGUAAAGGCUUACCAAGGCGACGAUCCGUAGCUGGUCUGAGAGGACGACCAGCCACACUGGGACUGAGACACGGCCCAGACUCCUACGGGAGGCAGCAGUGGGGAAUUUUGGACAAUGGGGGCAACCCUGAUCCAGCCAUGCCGCGUGCGGGAAGAAGGCCUUCGGGUUGUAAACCGCUUUUGUUCGGGAAGAAAUCCUCUGGGCUAAUACCCCGGGGGGAUGACGGUACCGGAAGAAUAAGCACCGGCUAACUACGUC